RNAcentral lists this ribosomal RNA (927 nucleotides) under Lactobacillus sp. RNAcentral describes it as "bacterial SSU rRNA". It matches the Rfam family "Bacterial small subunit ribosomal RNA", at positions 30 to 921 of the family's 1533-position model. Lineage: Bacteria; Bacillati; Bacillota; Bacilli; Lactobacillales; Lactobacillaceae. The record is from RNAcentral.
CGCACGUGCGGCGUGCCUAUACUGCAAGUCGAACGAACUCUGGUAUUGAUUGGUGCUUGCAUCUUGAUUUACAUUUGAGUGAGUGGCGAACUGGUGAGUAACACGUGGGAAACCUGCCCAGAAGCGGGGGAUAACACCUGGAAACAGAUGCUAAUACCGCAUAACAACUUGGACCGCAUGGUCCGAGUUUGAAAGAUGGCUUCGGCUAUCACUUUUGGAUGGUCCCGCGGCGUAUUAGCUAGAUGGUGGGGUAACGGCUCACCAUGGCAAUGAUAGGUAGCCGACCUGAGAGGGUAAUCGGCCACAUUGGGACUGAGACACGGCCCAAACUCCUACGGGAGGCAGCAGUAGGGAAUCUUCCACAAUGGACGAAAGUCUGAUGGAGCAACGCCGCGUGAGUGAAGAAGGGUUUCGGCUCGUAAAACUCUGUUGUUAAAGAAGAACAUAUCUGAGAGUAACUGUUCAUGUAUUGACGGUAUUUAACCAGAAAGCCACGGCUAACUACGUGCCAGCAGCCGCGGUAAUACGUAGGUGGCAAGCGUUGUCCGGAUUUAUUGGGCGUAAAGCGAGCGCAGGCGGUUUUUUAAGUCUGAUGUGAAAGCCUUCGGCUCAACCGAAGAAGUGCAUCGGAUACUGGGAAACUUGAGUGCAGAAGAGGACAGUGGAACUCCAUGUGUAGCGGUGAAAUGCGUAGAUAUAUGGAACAACACCGGUGGCGAAGGCUGCUGUCUGGUCUGUUACUGACGCUGAGGGCCGAAAGUGUGGGUAGCCAACGGGAUUAGAUACCCUGGUACUCCAUACCGUACACGAUGAAUGCUAAGGGUGUGGGGGGUCUCCGCCUUUCGGCGCUGCCGCUUCCCCCUUUUCCCUUUCCGCCCGGGGGGGGCCCGGCGCAAGGGGAAAAACAAAAAAGAAAGGAGGGGGGGG